GUGGUCUAGUGGUAUGAUUCGUGCUUCGGGUGCACGAGGUCCCGAGUUCGAUUCUCGGCUCA
RNAcentral lists this transfer RNA (62 nucleotides) under Perkinsus olseni. Its description in RNAcentral is "tRNA-Pro". It matches the Rfam family "tRNA", at positions 7 to 64 of the family's 71-position model. From Rfam's summary of the family: Transfer RNA (tRNA) molecules are approximately 80 nucleotides in length. Their secondary structure includes four short double-helical elements and three loops (D, anti-codon, and T loops). The record is from RNAcentral. Lineage: Eukaryota; Perkinsozoa; Perkinsida; Perkinsidae.